UACGUAGGGGGCGAGCGUUGUCCGGAUUUAUUGGGCGUAAAACGCUUGUAGGCGGCCACCGCGCGUCGGCUGUGAAAUCUCCCGGCUCAACUGGGGAGGGUCACGCGAUACUGAUCGACUCGAAGGCAGGAGAGGGAAGUGGAAUUCCCGGUGUAGUGGUGAAAUGCGUAGAUAUCGGGAGGAACACCAGUGGCGAAGGCGACUUCCUGGCCUGUUCUUGACGCUGAGGCGCGAAAGCUAGGGGAGCAAACGGG
Molecule: ribosomal RNA, 254 nt
Filed under: uncultured bacterium
Lineage: Bacteria
Description: partial 16S ribosomal RNA
Rfam family: Bacterial small subunit ribosomal RNA
Source: RNAcentral